CCAUUGGUGGUUCAGUGGUAGAAUUCUCGCCUGCCACGUGGGAGACCCGCGUCCGGUUCCCGGCCAAUGCA
Molecule: non-coding RNA, 71 nt
Organism: Danio rerio (zebrafish)
Lineage: Eukaryota; Metazoa; Chordata; Actinopteri; Cypriniformes; Danionidae
Source: Rfam